Molecule: transfer RNA, 76 nt
Filed under: Klebsiella pneumoniae
Lineage: Bacteria; Pseudomonadati; Pseudomonadota; Gammaproteobacteria; Enterobacterales; Enterobacteriaceae
Also listed under: 2 other names
Description: tRNA-Lys
Rfam family: tRNA
About the family: Transfer RNA (tRNA) molecules are approximately 80 nucleotides in length. Their secondary structure includes four short double-helical elements and three loops (D, anti-codon, and T loops).
Source: RNAcentral
GGGUCGUUAGCUCAGUUGGUAGAGCAGUUGACUUUUAAUCAAUUGGUCGCAGGUUCGAAUCCUGCACGACCCACCU